GCCUGGGUAGCUCAGUCGGUUGAGUGUCUGACUUCAGCUCAGGUCUUGAUCUCACAGUUCGUGAGUUCAAUGCCUGCAUCAGGCU
Molecule: transfer RNA, 85 nt
Filed under: Felis catus (domestic cat)
Lineage: Eukaryota; Metazoa; Chordata; Mammalia; Carnivora; Felidae
Also listed under: 2 other names
Rfam family: tRNA
About the family: Transfer RNA (tRNA) molecules are approximately 80 nucleotides in length.
Source: Rfam by way of RNAcentral